Molecule: ribosomal RNA, 423 nt
Filed under: uncultured bacterium
Lineage: Bacteria
Description: bacterial SSU rRNA
Rfam family: Bacterial small subunit ribosomal RNA
Source: RNAcentral
GGAAUAUUGCGCAAUGGGCGGAAGCCUGACGCAGCCAUGCCGCGUGUGUGAAGAAGGCCCUAGGGUUGUAAAGCACUUUCAAUAGGGAGAAAAGGCUCACGGCUAAUACCCGUGAGAGUUGAUGUUACCUAUAGAAGAAGCACCGGCUAACUCAGUGCCAGCAGCCGCGGUAAUACCGAGGGUGCGAGCGUUAAUCGGAAUUACUGGGCGUAAAGCGCGCGUAGGCGGUCUGUUAAGUCAGCUGUGAAAGCCCCGGGCUUAACCUGGGAAUUGCAGUUGAUACUGGCAGGCUAGAGUACAAGAGAGGGAGGUAGAAUUCCAUGUGUAGCGGUGAAAUGCGUAGAUAUAUGGAGGAAUACCAGUGGCGAAGGCGGCCUCCUGGCUCGAUACUGACGCUGAGGUGCGAAAGCGUGGGUAGCAAAC